RNAcentral lists this long non-coding RNA (2386 nucleotides) under Megachile rotundata (alfalfa leafcutting bee). Its description in RNAcentral is "uncharacterized LOC105663585, transcript variant X2". Lineage: Eukaryota; Metazoa; Arthropoda; Insecta; Hymenoptera; Megachilidae. The record is from RNAcentral.
CGUAAUAUCUGAAUAUUUAAAUACGUCAUUUUUAAUUUAUUCCAAUUCUCUUCGCUGAUUCAAUAUUACACGGGUGACAUUAUUCUCGUAUAUUACGAAGACCGAUACGUCUUGCUUAUCUAAAGUGCCACAUAUGUCAGACAUUCGCAAUUUCAACUGCAUUAAUAUAUGUAACGACUGUCCUUUGUUUAGCUUCAUUGUUGAUUUCAAAAACUACGUCCCCUUUCCUGUUAACGAAUCUCAUGCAUUGCAAUCUGUUUGCAAUUCUACGUCUCAACUUUUAAAAACAAAAUCUUCACGGAAAGUGUUACGGUUGCGAAAUAGAAAAGAUACGGAAAAAGUAUCUCACGGCUGACUGAUAUAUUUUUAAAGCAUCCAAUAUAUCGUGUGAGCUAAAAAUAACCAAAUACAAUUAAAUCCCGGGAAUCGGGCUCGACAAAGCUGAAACCGGUUUCAAUUCGUACAGCAGUAUCAAUAGCGAUGAUAAAAUGGACUAAAUCUGGAGUAACAAUAGGACAUAGAAAUUGAUUUGCUUGAAAAGGUUAUCUCGUAAUAGCACGUGCAACAGUACGAAUAACAAAGGGUUAGUUUCGAAUAUUUGUGACGGUUUGUUUCCAAAUGAAAAUACGUCGGUCGUGCGCAAUAAUCAAUCGACAAUUCGUAUUGUUGCAUGAUAAUGGAAUUAGCGGCGCGAUAAGUAUAAACGUACACGUGGAAUUAAUAUUGACGGUCAGUUAGAUCAGAUUAUUCUCAUCAUCCUACGCAACAGUAUUUUACGUAAAAAAUGAAACGCAUGACUUGGCUCAUGCGCAUGCGCAUUGGCGUAAUUAGAAUUUUCGUCUGGUGUGCUUUCUCAAAUUUAUUUAGUGUCAAUGCCCCAUCAUACUAAAUAUGAUCACUCGAUAUGAAAAUUUGUAGCAUGAGGUAUGUUAUUUUUUUUUAGAAAAUUGUAACUGGUACAAGGAGAUCUUGAACAAAAGAGAAACGGAUUUAAAUCGUCGAUUUCCUGUUACUGAAAUUUCACUGAUGAUUCGCAGAGAUAUGCAGAACGUGUUCCCUCGAAACGAGGUACGAAAUAAAAAUUCAACUAUUCUCGACGGUGUCAAUGAAUACGAUUGGUUAUUUGACUAUGGUAGUUAAUCAACGACUAUAAUUGUAUAAGCGUGAAACUGUGUUGCAUGCUGGUGUACUGUGACGAAUAUUGACUUUUUUAUGACUACAUAAAGGUGCUCGGCAAUAUGAUUCGAUAACUUUCUCCUGAAGUAUGCCUUGAGGUACUUUUUCCUGAUUCAGUGAUCUAUAAUAUAUGGAAUUUGUACAUAGUUAAAUUUAUUAUUUAUUUCAAUGCAUUGUACCCUACAAUAAGGACAUGGUCUCCACUUGCUUUCGAUUUCAGGAGAUCUAAUUUGUGAAUUUAAAAUUUCCAAAUCCCCAUAUUACCACAUUUGUAAAUUACCAAAUUUUCUACUUUCUAAAUUUUAAAAUUUCUUUUUUGUACUUAGAUGUUGCACACUGCAACAUUCUUAAGUAUUGACACAUACAAAUACUAGACCAAGGGUUACACUAAGAGUACAGUGGCCUGUAUCGAACAAACUUUCACUGCAAAAUACAAAUACAAGUUAUUGCAUCGCUACACCGGAAGUACCCGAAGGUCUUAACGACGUAUUUCGAAAAAUGAGAUUUUUGAUUUUGCAAUCAGACUGUUUCAUUAUGUGGCUUAAUUCCAACGAUGAAAUAUCUUCGACAUAAUAGAGUGUUAUUAAUUUUGUUAAACUACCAAAUUAACCGGAUUCUGAGUGGAUUUAAAAUAGAUUGAUUUACGCGCGCAAUUUUCGGGACAUAAAUUAUUUCAGACUGCGAUUAGGAACCCAUUAAUUCUUCAGCUCUGAAUUACCGACAGAGUGACACGUUUGCAGCUUAUCAAGUACUUCUAUUCUUGUCCAUUCGGUCAGAUAUGUAUGUACACGCCUCCUCUCCAACGUGCUUGUUUACUUUUUUAUAUAAGAAAGAUGGAAUCUACCAUCCAGGGCCGUAUGACUUCACUUUAUGAUUACUUUGGGACCCCGUAAAGUCAAUGACGCCAUUGUUGUUUUCAUACCCGUUUGAGUGAAAACGAAAGAGGUGACAAACUAUAUUUCUAAAAUCAAAAAAGAGUUUUGAUAUUUAAUUCUUACAAAGUAUCUCUCAGAGGCAAAUAACCCGUUCGCCCCGUGUUGGAGGAAAAUGAUAUAUUUCUCGCCAAGGAGAAUGUCAGUGUGAAGUCAAUAAAUUAUAUACGGAAAGAAAACAGAAGUACGAGGAUCCCUGAAUUUUUUCAAGGUGAUACACAGAGAAAAUGAAAAGCAAGUCGAAUGAUACACCACAUGGUCAGAAUUGUCGAAUGGGA